CUGCAUGAACUCACAUUGAGUGUCAAGCUUCCCAUGCCGGAGCGGAUGUAAUGGAUUAUUUUCCAGUGGUUCAGCAAAAUGAACGGGACUAGAACACUCCGAUGAGCAACAGCACUGAUACAAAGGAGCAUAGGCAGAGCAAGAGGAGAGAAGCGGAAAGAACUGGCAGCAGGAAAGAGAAUGAAUGUGAAAGACCCUGCCCUCUGACGGCAGCUCAGAUAUCCAUGUAAUCACAUCCAAAGUGUGACUACAUGAAUGUGACUACAUGAAUGUUUCUUUGUUCCUGCUUUUAAUUUGUGGCUUACACUGUUCAGUUUGAAAACCAGUUUGCUGGAACUAGGAACCUGCACUUUUAAGCUAUGCAUUCCUCAGUAUGGGUCUGGAAGAAAAUGUGUUUGCAGAUACUUUCAGUGGACAGCAGGUUUCAAGGAUGUCAAGACAUCCUUAAGUCUAAAAUAAUUGCCCUUUAGGAGGAAGAUGCUGAAUAUUUAUGGAUUCCCAAAGAGAAAAUGUUAAAGAGCUCACAGCUAACAGGAUUUUAAUUGGAUGCCUGGACCGUAUUCCUGCCUAUUUUCUAGCAAAUGACUUUAAAUGCUUGCUACAUAAUACAAAUAAAUAAAUUGAAUAAAAACACAAA
This is a long non-coding RNA of Numida meleagris (helmeted guineafowl), 637 nucleotides long. RefSeq lists it as uncharacterized. The record is from RefSeq and is a predicted model, not a curated record. Lineage: Eukaryota; Metazoa; Chordata; Aves; Galliformes; Numididae. The transcript is spliced from 2 exons.